CCUUGUACAGAAGAAACAGAAGUGAUGCUCUUGCUAACCAAUUUUCUUGGUCCUCCCUCUCUGAAAAACUGAAGAAGUGCUCUUCCGCAUGGACAAGACCCUGGUUUUCCUUUGAGUCUUAGAAUCACCAUAUAGGAAAAUUCAGAGGAGACUUGUUCCCCCAGUACCCACCCCGCACUGUGCAGAAGACCCCAGAUGGAGUUGUAUCAUUCUUUCUAGCUUGGUGUCUACCACGGCCAACAGCUUGCUGUGCCAGCACUCCCGAUCCCCAGCUCAGGUAAGGGUGCUGCUGCUUCGUAUGUGGCUUUGUGGUGUGAUGUAGGAGGGGUGAGUGAGCCUUCUGGUGGAAUUAGGAUUCCUUAUAUCACCAGUCUUACCACAAGGGAGAGCAAGGCUUUA
Molecule: long non-coding RNA, 399 nt
Filed under: Anas platyrhynchos platyrhynchos (common mallard)
Lineage: Eukaryota; Metazoa; Chordata; Aves; Anseriformes; Anatidae
Description: lncRNA (ENSAPLG00000018968.1)
Source: RNAcentral